RNAcentral lists this ribosomal RNA (253 nucleotides) under uncultured bacterium. RNAcentral describes it as "partial 16S ribosomal RNA". It matches the Rfam family "Bacterial small subunit ribosomal RNA", at positions 524 to 776 of the family's 1533-position model. The record is from RNAcentral.
GACGUAGGACACGAGCGUUAUCCGGAGUUACUGGGCGUAAAGGGCGUGCAGGCGGUUGGGUAAGACUGAUGUGAAAGCGCCCGGCUUAACCGGGCGAGGACAUUGGUGACUGCGCGACUAGAGGCAGAUAGAGGGGUGUAGAAUUCCGGGUGUAGUGGUGAAAUGCGUAGAGAUCCGGAGGAAUACCAGAGGCGAAGGCGGCACCCUGGGUCUGACCUGACGCUGAGACGCGACAGCAUGGGGAGCGAACGGG